CACGUAGUUAGCCGAUGCUUCCUCUGUAGGUACAGUCACUUUUUCUUCCCUACUGACAGAGCUUUACACCCCAAGGGGCUUCUUCGCUCACGCGGUGUUGCUGCGUCAGGCUUUCGCCCAUUGCGCAAAAUUCCCUACUGCUGCCUCCCGUAGGAGUAUGGGCCGUGUCUCAGUCCCAUUGUGGCUGAUCAUCCUCUCAGACCAGCUACUGAUCAUCGCCUUGGUAGGCUUUUACCCCACCAACUAGCUAAUCAGCCGCAGGCUCAUCUCAAGGCACCGGAGUUUUCAUACAACAUAUUUCAAUGCUGCACAUAUGGGGUAUUAGCGUCAGUUUCCCAACGUUGUCCCCCUCCUUGAGGUAGAUUACCUACGUAUUACUCACCCGUCCGCCACUUAUGUACCCCGAAGGGCCUUAUCGUUCGACUUGCAUGUAUUAAGCACACCGCCAGCGUUCGUCCUCGAGCCGACGAGUCAACUC
Molecule: ribosomal RNA, 478 nt
Filed under: uncultured bacterium
Lineage: Bacteria
Description: partial 16S ribosomal RNA
Source: RNAcentral